RNAcentral lists this ribosomal RNA (802 nucleotides) under uncultured bacterium. RNAcentral describes it as "bacterial SSU rRNA". It matches the Rfam family "Bacterial small subunit ribosomal RNA", at positions 47 to 858 of the family's 1533-position model. The record is from RNAcentral.
CCUAACACAUGCAAGUCGAACGAGAAAGCCGGUAGCAAUACUGGUGAGUAAAGUGGCGACCGGGUGAGUAACACGUGGACAACCUACCUUUGAGUGGGGAAUAACCCUGGGAAACCGGGGAUAAUACCGCAUAACAUCCCGUGACGACGGUUGUGGGAUUGAAACCCGAAAGGGGCUCAUUGAGGGGUCCGCGGCUGAUUAGCUAGUUGGUGAGGUAACGGCCCACCAAGGCUUUGAUCGGUAGCCGGCCUGAGAGGGCGGACGGCCACACUGGAACUGAAACACGGUCCAGACUCCUACGGGAGGCAGCAGUGGGGAAUUUUGCGCAAUGGGGGAAACCCUGACGCAGCAACGCCGCGUGGAUGAUGAAGGCCCUUGGGUUGUAAAAUCCUUUCGGCAGGGACGAAUCAAUUGACGGUACCUGAAGAAGAAGCCCCGGCUAACUCCGUGCCAGCAGCCGCGGUAAUACGGGGGGGGCGAGCGUUGUUCGGAAUUAUUGGGCGUAAAGGGCGCGUAGGCGGUGUGGUAAGUCUGUUGUGAAACCUCCAGGCUCAACUUGGAGCUUGCAUCAGAUACUGCCGUGCUAGAGUGCGGGAGAGGAGAGUGGAAUUCCUGGUGUAGCGGUGAAAUGCGUAGAUAUCAGGAGGAACACCGGUGGCGAAAGCGGCUCUCUGGACCGCAACUGACGCUGAGGCGCGAAAGCUAGGGGAGCAAACAGGAUUAGAUACCCUGGUAGUCCUAGCCUUAAACGAUGAACACUUGGUAUAGCGGGUAUCGAAUCCCGCUGUGCCGGAGCUAACGC